ACCUGGCUGUCUCAGUCAGUGGAGCAUGUGACUCUUGAUCUCGGGGUUGUGGGUUCAAGCCCCACGUUGGGUG
Canis lupus familiaris (dog) is the source of this 73-nucleotide non-coding RNA. The record is from Rfam. NCBI's taxonomy places the organism in Eukaryota, Metazoa, Chordata, Mammalia, Carnivora, Canidae.